CAGUCGAACGAGCGAGAGAGAGCUUGCUUUCUCAAGCGAGUGGCGAACGCGGUGAGUAACGCGUGAGGAACCUGCCUCAAAGAGGGGGACAACAGUUGGAAACGACUGCUAAUACCGCAUAAGCCCACGACCCGGCAUCGGGUAGAGGGAAAAGGAGCAAUCCGCUUUGAGAUGGCCUCGCGUCCGAUUAGCUAGUUGGUGAGGUAAUGGCCCACCAAGGCGACGAUCGGUAGCCGGACUGAGAGGUUGAACGGCCACAUUGGGACUGAGACACGGCCCAGACUCCUACGGGAGGCAGCAGUGGGGAAUAUUGCACAAUGGGGGAAACCCUGAUGCAGCGACGCCGCGUGGAGGAAGAAGGUCUUCGGAUUGUAAACUCCUGUUGUUGAGGAAGAUAAUGACGGUACUCAACAAGGAAGUGACGGCUAACUACGUGCCAGCAGCCGCGGUAAAACGUAGGUCACAAGCGUUGUCCGGAAUUACUGGGUGUAAAGGGAGCGCAGGCGGGAAGACAAGUUGGAAGUGAAAUCCAUGGGCUCAACCCAUGAACUGCUUUCAAAACUGUUUUUCUUGAGUAGUGCAGAGGUAGGCGGAAUUCCCGGUGUAGCGGUGGAAUGCGUAGAUAUCGGGAGGAACACCAGUGGCGAAGGCGGCCUACUGGGCACCAACUGACGCUGAGGCUCGAAAGUGUGGGUAGCAAACAGGAUUAGAUACCCUGGUAGUCCACACUGUAAACGAUGAUUACUAGGUGUUGGAGGAUUGACCCCUUCAGUGCCGCAGUUAACACAAUAAGUAAUCCACCUGGGGAGUACGACCGCAAGGUUGAAACUCAAAGGAAUUGACGGGGGCCCGCACAAGCAGUGGAGUAUGUGG
Molecule: ribosomal RNA, 873 nt
Filed under: uncultured bacterium
Lineage: Bacteria
Description: bacterial SSU rRNA
Rfam family: Bacterial small subunit ribosomal RNA
Source: RNAcentral